UACGGGGGGGGCAAGCGUUGUUCGGAAUUACUGGGCGUAAAGGGCUCGUAGGCGGCCAACUAAGUCAGACGUGAAAUCCCUCGGCUUAACCGGGGAACUGCGUCUGAUACUGGAUGGCUUGAGAUUGGGAGAGGGAUGCGGAAUUCCAGGUGUAGCGGUGAAGUGCGUAGAUAUCUGGAGGAACACCGGUGGCGAAGGCGGCAUCCUGGACCAGCACUGACGCUGAGGAGCGAAAGCCAGGGGAGCAAACGGG
This 253-nucleotide ribosomal RNA is filed under the name uncultured bacterium. RNAcentral's name for it is "partial 16S ribosomal RNA". It matches the Rfam family "Bacterial small subunit ribosomal RNA", at positions 524 to 776 of the family's 1533-position model. The record is from RNAcentral.